This 341-nucleotide ribosomal RNA is filed under the name uncultured archaeon. RNAcentral's name for it is "bacterial SSU rRNA". It matches the Rfam family "Archaeal small subunit ribosomal RNA", at positions 4 to 346 of the family's 1478-position model. The record is from RNAcentral.
CUGGUUGAUCCUGCCGGAGGCACCGUUAUGCGAUUUCGAUUAAGCCAUGCGAGUCGAGAGGGUUCGGCCCUCGCCGCACCGCUCAGUAACACGCGGAUAAUCUGCCCUUGGGUCGGGGAUAAGCUCGCGAAAGUGAGUAUAAUACCCGAUAGCUGUCGAAUGCUGGAAUGCUUUGAGGUCGAAAGUUCCGAUGCCUAAGAAUAGGUCUGCGACCUAUCAGGCUGUAGUGGGGUGUAAAGGCCCCACUAACCUAUAACGGGUAGGGGGUCUUGGGAGAGAUCAGCCCGGAGAUGGCUUCUGAGACAUGAACCCAGGCCCUACGGGGCGCAGCAGGCGCGAAA